RNAcentral lists this ribosomal RNA (991 nucleotides) under Pseudomonas chlororaphis. Its description in RNAcentral is "bacterial SSU rRNA". It matches the Rfam family "Bacterial small subunit ribosomal RNA", at positions 56 to 1047 of the family's 1533-position model. Lineage: Bacteria; Pseudomonadati; Pseudomonadota; Gammaproteobacteria; Pseudomonadales; Pseudomonadaceae. The record is from RNAcentral.
UGCAAGUCGAGCGGUAGAGAGAAGCUUGCUUCUCUUGAGAGCGGCGGACGGGUGAGUAAUGCCUAGGAAUCUGCCUGGUAGUGGGGGAUAACGUUCGGAAACGGACGCUAAUACCGCAUACGUCCUACGGGAGAAAGCAGGGGACCUUCGGGCCUUGCGCUAUCAGAUGAGCCUAGGUCGGAUUAGCUAGUUGGUGAGGUAAUGGCUCACCAAGGCGACGAUCCGUAACUGGUCUGAGAGGAUGAUCAGUCACACUGGAACUGAGACACGGUCCAGACUCCUACGGGAGGCAGCAGUGGGGAAUAUUGGACAAUGGGCGAAAGCCUGAUCCAGCCAUGCCGCGUGUGUGAAGAAGGUCUUCGGAUUGUAAAGCACUUUAAGUUGGGAGGAAGGGUACUUACCUAAUACGUGAGUAUUUUGACGUUACCGACAGAAUAAGCACCGGCUAACUCUGUGCCAGCAGCCGCGGUAAUACAGAGGGUGCAAGCGUUAAUCGGAAUUACUGGGCGUAAAGCGCGCGUAGGUGGUUCGUUAAGUUGGAUGUGAAAUCCCCGGGCUCAACCUGGGAACUGCAUCCAAAACUGGCGAGCUAGAGUAUGGUAGAGGGUGGUGGAAUUUCCUGUGUAGCGGUGAAAUGCGUAGAUAUAGGAAGGAACACCAGUGGCGAAGGCGACCACCUGGACUGAUACUACACUAAGGUGCAAAACGUGGGGCAAACAGGAUUAGAUACCCUGGUAGUCCACGCCGUAAACGAUGUCAACUAGCCGUUGGGAGCCUUGAGCUCUUAGUGGCGCAGCUAACGCAUUAAGUUGACCGCCUGGGGAGUACGGCCGCAAGGUUAAAACUCAAAUGAAUUGACGGGGCCCGCACAAGCGGUGGAGCAUGUGGUUUAAUUCGAAGCAACGCGAAGAACCUUACCAGGCCUUGACAUCCAAUGAACUUUCCAGAGAUGGAUUGGUGCCUUCGGGAACAUUGAGACAGGUGCUGCAUG